This is a non-coding RNA of Malus domestica (apple), 1845 nucleotides long. The record is from RefSeq and is a predicted model, not a curated record. Lineage: Eukaryota; Viridiplantae; Streptophyta; Magnoliopsida; Rosales; Rosaceae.
AACUCUCUCUGUUUCAUUCCCACAGGAUUCAUAAAAAUCCACACAAUUAAUCAUUUUCUCCAACACCUCCAAAUCCCACGGUUCAUGAUUUCUAAUUCGCAGAAAACGAAAUUCCACAAGCCCCACCUGCUCUUCUUCUUCUUCUUCUUCUUCUUCUGUGUUCAUUUAUGGGGUGUGGGCUGUUCUAAAAGUCUCAGAAAACCAUGACCAAGUCCAGGAAUUUCUUCAACAAUCUUAUGAAAACUUGUGGGUUCGGCUCCAGAAGAGACGGACGGAACGAAGAGGACUUGGAGAAGAUUGCUCAGCAGGAACAGAAGGUUUUUCCUUUCGAAACUUUGGUUGCUGCCACGAGGAAUUUCCACUCCACUCAUAAGCUCGGACAAGGCGGUUUCGGACCCGUUUAUAAGGGGAGGUUGGAGGAUGGGAGAGAAAUUGCAGUGAAGAAGUUGUCAGGGAGUUCAAAUCAAGGAAAGAGAGAGUUCUUGAACGAGGCCAAGUUGCUAGCUCGUGUGCAGCACCGUAAUGUUGUGAAUUUGUUGGGCUAUUGUGCACACGGGGUAGAGAAACUACUCGUUUAUGAGUAUGUCUCAAAUGAGAGCCUCGACAAGCUUCUCUUCAAUUCGAAUGGAAGGAAGGAGCUUGACUGGAAGCGGAGGUUUGAUAUAAUAUGUGGCAUUGCAAGGGGCUUGCUUUACCUUCAUGAAGAUUCGCAUAAUUGUAUUAUACAUCGCGACAUCAAGGCCAGCAAUAUUCUACUUGAUGAUAAAUGGAUCCCCAAGAUUGCUGAUUUUGGCAUGGCCCGCCUCUUUCCCGAAGACGAAACGCACGUCAAUACCCGCGUUGCUGGUACCAAUGGUUAUAUGGCUCCGGAGUAUGUUAUGCAUGGGCAUUUAUCAGCGAAGGCGGACGUGUUUAGCUUCGGAGUUGUGGUUUUGGAGCUGAUUAGUGGCCAAAGAAAUUCAUCGUUCAACGGAAAUGUUGAUGCGCAGAAUCUGCUUGAUUGGGCGUACAAGCUUUACAAGAAGGAGAGAAGCAUGGAGUUUAUGGACCCGACAUUAGCAUCAUCAGCAGUCCCCGAGCAAGUAGCGAUGUGUAUUCAGAUGGGAUUGCUCUGCAUACAAGGUGAUCCCACAAUCCGCCCCACAAUGCAUCGUGUGGUUGUGAUCCUAUCCAAGAAACCAAGCCAAUUGGAAGAGCCAAUGAGGCCGGGAGUACCUGGAUCAAGAUAUAGAAGAUCUCGCCUGCCAGCAGGGAUUUCAUCCACUGCCGGAACUUCUGGUGAAUCAAAUUCCCGUUAUUCAGAUUCGAGCUUUUCUGCAACCGGAACCAGUUCAGUAGCCGGAACCAGUUCAGUAGCCGGAACCAUUUCAGCAGCAGCCCCAGAACAAGAUACCCGUGGUAAACGUCCGGUGGAAAGAUAGCUAUGUACCAGAGAGGCACUUUGACAUUUGACACGUGUCCACACCAAACUCAAUAUAUAAGGAAAAGGAUCAUUGCCGGAUCAUUUUCUUAGAGAUCCUAGGGAUUCCAUGAUCUCAUUCGUUCAUCAUAUAUCGUGCGGUAAGAUCACGGGAUCCUUAAGAAAAGGAUCCGGCGAUGAUCAUUAACGCAUAUGCAUUUUUGACCAGACAGAAAUGAAGAAUGUAUCCAUUCGUAAUUUUACUCAAGCACGGCAAUGGAGGAUGGUGAGACCCAACAAGUCAAAGGUCCUAAUUUUACGUGUGUUGAAGUAAAGUAUAGGGUAAAUUACAUUUUACCCCCUCAGGUUUGAUGUUGAUUUUAAUUCCUUACAACAUUUUUAAAACAUUUCAAUUUCAUACAUAUACUUAUCAUUUUAUUUCAAUU